GUGGGGAAUUUUGGACAAUGGGCGAAAGCCUGAUCCAGCCAUGCCGCGUGCAGGAUGAAGGCCUUCGGGUUGUAAACUGCUUUUGUACGGAACGAAAAGACUUCUUCUAAUACAGGAGGUCCAUGACGGUACCGUAAGAAUAAGCACCGGCUAACUACGUGCCAGCAGCCGCGGUAAUACGUAGGGUGCAAGCGUUAAUCGGAAUUACUGGGCGUAAAGCGUGCGCAGGCGGUUAUAUAAGACAGAUGUGAAAUCCCCGGGCUCAACCUGGGAACUGCAUUUGUGACUGUAUAGCUAGAGUACGGUAGAGGGGGAUGGAAUUCCGCGUGUAGCAGUGAAAUGCGUAGAUAUGCGGAGGAACACCGAUGGCGAAGGCAAUCCCCUGGACCUGCACUGACGCUCAUGCACGAAAGCGUGGGGAGCAAACAGGAUUAGAUACCCGUGUAGUCC
Molecule: ribosomal RNA, 450 nt
Filed under: uncultured bacterium
Lineage: Bacteria
Description: partial 16S ribosomal RNA
Rfam family: Bacterial small subunit ribosomal RNA
Source: RNAcentral